This 399-nucleotide ribosomal RNA is filed under the name Achromobacter xylosoxidans. Its description in RNAcentral is "bacterial SSU rRNA". It matches the Rfam family "Bacterial small subunit ribosomal RNA", at positions 17 to 419 of the family's 1533-position model. Lineage: Bacteria; Pseudomonadati; Pseudomonadota; Betaproteobacteria; Burkholderiales; Alcaligenaceae. The record is from RNAcentral.
UCCUGGCUCAGAUUGAACGCUAGCGGGAUGCCUUACACAUGCAAGUCGAACGGCAGCACGGACUUCGGUCUGGUGGCGAGUGGCGAACGGGUGAGUAAUGAUCGGAACGUGCCCAGUAGCGGGGGAUAACUACGCGAAAGCGUAGCUAAUACCGCAUACGCCCUACGGGGGAAAGCAGGGGAUCGCAAGACCUUGCACUAUUGGAGCGGCCGAUAUCGGAUUAGCUAGUUGGUGGGGUAACGGCUCACCAAGGCGACGAUCCGUAGCUGGUUUGAGAGGACGACCAGCCACACUGGGACUGAGACACGGCCCAGACUCCUACGGGAGGCAGCAGUGGGGAAUUUUGGACAAUGGGGGAAACCCUGAUCCAGCCAUCCCGCGUGUGCGAUGAAGGCCUUC